CCUCAAAUCAGGUAGGACUACCCGCUGAACUUAAGCAUAUCAAUAAGCGGAGGAAAAGAAACUAACAAGGAUUCCCCCAGUAACUGCGAGUGAAGAGGGAAGAGCUCAAAUUUAGAAUCUGGCAGUCUUUGGCUGUCCGAGUUGUAAAUUAGAGAAGUGUUAUCCGCGCUGGCUGUGCAUAAGUCUCUUGGAAAAGGGCAUCAUAGAGGGUGACAAUCCCGUCUUUGGCACAGACUACCAGGGCUUUUGUGAUACGCUCUCGAUGAGUCGAGUUGUUUGGGAAUGCAGCUCUAAAUGGGUGGUAAAUUCCAUCUAAAGCUAAAUAUUGGCGAGAGACCGAUAGCGCACAAGUACCGUGAGGGAAAGAUGAAAAGAACUUUGAAAAGAGAGCUAAACAGUACGUGAAAUUGUUGAAAGGGAAACGCUUGAAGUCAGUCACAUCCUUCAGAAAUCAACCUGACCGUCAGGUCUGGUGUACUUUCUGUUUGGAUGGGUCAGCAUCAAUUUUGAUCAUUGGAUAAAGGCCUUGGGAAAGUGGCAUCUCCGGAUGUGUUAUAGCCCAUGGUUCAUACACAGUGGUUGGGAUUGAGGAACUCUGUGCUUUUUGCACUAC
RNAcentral lists this ribosomal RNA (613 nucleotides) under uncultured Basidiomycota. Its description in RNAcentral is "LSU rRNA". It matches the Rfam family "Eukaryotic large subunit ribosomal RNA", at positions 1 to 614 of the family's 3401-position model. The record is from RNAcentral. Lineage: Eukaryota; Fungi; Basidiomycota.